UACGAAGGGUGCAAGCGUUAAUCGGAAUUACUGGGCGUAAAGCGCGCGUAGGUGGUUCAGUAAGUUGGAAGUGAAAUCCCCGGGCUCAACCUGGGAACUGCUUUCAAAACUGCUGAGCUAGAGUACGGGAGAGGGUGGUGGAAUUUCCUGUGUAGCGGUGAAAUGCGUAGAUAUAGGAAGGAACACCAGUGGCGAAGGCGACCACCUGGACUGAUACUGACACUGAGGUGCGAAAGCGUGGGGAGCAAACAGG
RNAcentral lists this ribosomal RNA (253 nucleotides) under uncultured bacterium. RNAcentral describes it as "partial 16S ribosomal RNA". It matches the Rfam family "Bacterial small subunit ribosomal RNA", at positions 524 to 776 of the family's 1533-position model. The record is from RNAcentral.